RNAcentral lists this ribosomal RNA (229 nucleotides) under uncultured bacterium. RNAcentral's name for it is "partial 16S ribosomal RNA". It matches the Rfam family "Bacterial small subunit ribosomal RNA", at positions 568 to 796 of the family's 1533-position model. The record is from RNAcentral.
UGCGUAGGCGGAAAAUUAAGUCAGUGAUGAAAUCCUGCAGCUUAACUGUAGAACUGUUAUUGAUACUGAUUUUCUUGAAUUCAGUUGAGGUAGGCGGAAUGUGUAAUGUAGCGGUGAAAUGCUUAGAUAUUACACAGAACACCGAUUGCGAAGGCAGCUUACUAAGCUGAUAUUGACGCUGAGGCACGAAAGCGUGGGGAGCAAACAGGAUUAGAUACCCUGGUAGUCC